RNAcentral lists this ribosomal RNA (393 nucleotides) under bacterium enrichment culture. RNAcentral describes it as "bacterial SSU rRNA". It matches the Rfam family "Bacterial small subunit ribosomal RNA", at positions 521 to 916 of the family's 1533-position model. The record is from RNAcentral.
UAAUACGGAGGAUCCGAGCGUUAUCCGGAUUUAUUGGGUUUAAAGGGUGCGUAGGCGGCACUUUAAGUCAGGGGUGAAAGACGGCAGCUCAACUGUCGCAGUGCCCUUGAUACUGAAGUGCUUGAAUGCGGUUGAAGACGGCGGAAUGAGACAAGUAGCGGUGAAAUGCAUAGAUAUGUCUCAGAACACCGAUUGCGAAGGCAGCUGUCUAAGCCGUUAUUGACGCUGAUGCACGAAAGCGUGGGGAUCGAACAGGAUUAGAUACCCUGGUAGUCCACGCCCUAAACGAUGAUAACUCGAUGUUUGCGAUAUACCGUAAGCGUCCAAGCGAAAGCGUUAAGUUAUCCACCUGGGGAGUACGCCCGCAAGGGUGAAACUCAAAUGAAUUGACGG